Molecule: unclassified non-coding RNA, 533 nt
Filed under: Leishmania donovani
Lineage: Eukaryota; Euglenozoa; Kinetoplastea; Trypanosomatida; Trypanosomatidae
Description: gene:unknown
Source: RNAcentral
AGCGCACGCUGCCCCACCCCCUGCCACUUCGCCGCUGCGCGAGGCGCAUGCGCGUGAUGAAUACUAUUCACAUAGUUUCCUGUCAGUCCGAGCACUGCAUGAGGUCAUAACGUUUCUCAACUCAGCUCACACUGACGCGGUGCGGGUGUUGUUGUGUGGUUGUGUGGUGGUGUGAUCUUUUCGCUCGUUGUAGGUGUCGGGUGUGGCGUCGUGGGAACCAGUGAUCUAGUGAAUGAUUAUUUUAUGUCAUUUGUAAUGUAUCGUUUGUGGUUGCUGUUACAGCGGUGAAGGUCAUGCUUGUUAUGGGCUGUGUGCUGGGCAGCGUUGAUAAGAAUGCCGAUGCGCUCCUGUGCUCUGUGUCGUUGUCGGCAGAAUAUGAUGUCACCGAAGUGGUCUACCGGACUGCAUAUGCAGCCAUCUGCGCACCCCUCGUAUGAAUGGCUGCAACUAUCGCAAAUCUUGUGCUUCUUCUAAUGUGUGCUUCUUCAUCCCUCUUUUUGGCUUGAUGAAUUCGCGAUGCGGGGCUUUCCUAG